Molecule: ribosomal RNA, 445 nt
Filed under: uncultured bacterium
Lineage: Bacteria
Description: partial 16S ribosomal RNA
Rfam family: Bacterial small subunit ribosomal RNA
Source: RNAcentral
GUGAGGAAUAUUGGUCAAUGGGCGGGAGCCUGAACCAGCCAAGUCGCGUGAAGGAAGAAGGAUCUAUGGUUCGUAAACUUCUUUUGUAGGGGAAUAAAGUGCAGGACGUGUCCUGUUUUGUAUGUACCCUGAGAAUAAGGAUCGGCUAACUCCGUGCCAGCAGCCGCGGUAAUACGGAGGAUCCGAGCGUUAUCCGGAUUUAUUGGGUUUAAAGGGUGCGUAGGUGGUUUGAUAAGUCAGCGGUGAAAGUUUGCAGCUUAACUGUAAAAAUGCCGUUGAAACUGUCGGACUUGAGUGUAAAUGAGGUAGGCGGAAUGCGUGGUGUAGCGGUGAAAUGCAUAGAUAUCACGCAGAACUCCGAUUGCGAAGGCAGCUUACUAAGCUACAACUGACACUGAAGCACGAAAGCGUGGGGAUCAAACAGGAUUAGAAACCCUGGUAGUCC